Molecule: ribosomal RNA, 869 nt
Filed under: uncultured bacterium
Lineage: Bacteria
Description: bacterial SSU rRNA
Rfam family: Bacterial small subunit ribosomal RNA
Source: RNAcentral
GGCUCAGGAUGAACGCUAGCUACAGGCUUAACACAUGCAAGUCGAGGGGCAGCGGGAUUGAAGCUUGCUUCAAUCGCCGGCGACCGGCGCACGGGUGAGUAACGCGUAUCCAACCUUCCGUACACUCAGGGAUAGCCUUUCGAAAGAAAGAUUAAUACCUGAUGGUAUGAUGAGAUUGCAUGAUAGCAUCAUUAAAGAUUUAUCGGUGUACGAUGGGGAUGCGUUCCAUUAGGUAGUAGGCGGGGUAACGGCCCACCUAGCCAACGAUGGAUAGGGGUUCUGAGAGGAAGGUCCCCCACAUUGGAACUGAGACACGGUCCAAACUCCUACGGGAGGCAGCAGUGAGGAAUAUUGGUCAAUGGACGAGAGUCUGAACCAGCCAAGUAGCGUGAAGGAUGAAGGUCCUACGGAUUGUAAACUUCUUUUAUAAGGGAAUAAACCCUCCCACGUGUGGGAGCUUGUAUGUACCUUAUGAAUAAGCAUCGGCUAACUCCGUGCCAGCAGCCGCGGUAAUACGGAGGAUGCGAGCGUUAUCCGGAUUUAUUGGGUUUAAAGGGAGCGCAGACGGGUCGUUAAGUCAGCUGUGAAAGUUUGGGGCUCAACCUUAAAAUUGCAGUUGAUACUGGCGUCCUUGAGUGCGGUUGAGGUGUGCGGAAUUCGUGGUGUAGCGGUGAAAUGCUUAGAUAUCACGAAGAACUCCGAUUGCGAAGGCAGCACACUAAUCCGUAACUGACGUUCAUGCUCGAAAGUGUGGGUAUCAAACAGGAUUAGAUACCCUGGUAGUCCACACGGUAAACGAUGGAUACUCGCUGUUGGCGAUAUACUGUCAGCGGCUUAGCGAAAGCGUUAAGUAUCCCACCUGGGGAGUA